This 512-nucleotide ribosomal RNA is filed under the name uncultured bacterium. Its description in RNAcentral is "partial 16S ribosomal RNA". It matches the Rfam family "Bacterial small subunit ribosomal RNA", at positions 28 to 507 of the family's 1533-position model. The record is from RNAcentral.
GAUGAACGCUGGCGGCGUGCCUAAUACAUGCAAGUCGAACGAAACUUCUUUAUCACCGAGUGCUUGCACUCACCGAUAAAGAGUUGAGUGGCGAACGGGUGAGUAACACGUGGGCAACCUGCCCAAAAGAGGGGGAUAACACUUGGAAACAGGUGCUAAUACCGCAUAACCAUAGUUACCGCAUGGUAACUAUGUAAAAGGUGGCUAUACUACCGCUUUUGGAUGGUCCCGCGGCGCAUUAGCUAGUUGGUAGGGUAAAGGCUUACCAAGGCAAUGAUGCGUAGCCGAAGUGAGAGGUUGAUCGGCCACAUUGGGACUGAGACACGGCCCAAACUCCUACGGGAGGCAGCAGUAGGGAAUCUUCCACAAUGGGCGAAAGCCUGAUGGAGCAACGCCGCGUGGGUGAAGAAGGUCUUCGGAUCGUAAAACCCUGUUGUUAGAGAAGAAAGUGCGUGAGAGUAACUGUUCACGUUUCGACGGUAUCUAACCAGAAAGCCACGGCUAACUACGUG